GUUGAAAUGGGAAAUUUAAAUGUUCCUUGUGAGGACAGAGAGGCCUUGAAAAUCCCUGGAAAUGUCCAAGGCCGGGAUCAUGGAAGUCCCAGAUCCUGGGGUGACCCUGGAUCUUCAUUGUCCCAUCCAGGGAAUGGCUUUGGGCUGAACAAGGUCAGGUUUAGAUGGGAAAUUUAAACAAGAAAGUUUAAAUGGGAAAUUUAAACAGGAAAGUUUAGAUGGGAAAUUUAAACAAGAAAGUUGAAAUGGGAAAUUUAAAUGUUCCUUGUGAGGACAGCGAGGCCUUGAAAAUCCCUGGAAAUGUCCAAGGCCGGGAUCAUGGC
Molecule: non-coding RNA, 323 nt
Organism: Sturnus vulgaris (Common starling)
Lineage: Eukaryota; Metazoa; Chordata; Aves; Passeriformes; Sturnidae
Source: RefSeq, a predicted model, not a curated record